GGAAUCUUGCGCAAUGGGCGAAAGCCUGAUCCAGCAACGCCGCGUGAGGGAUGACGGCCUUCGGGUUGUAAACCUCUUUCAGCAGGGACGAAGCGAAAGUGACGGUACUUGCAGAAGAAGGACCGGCCAACUACGUGCCAGCAGCCGCGGUAAUACGUAGGGUGCGAGCGUUAUCCGGAAUCAUUGGGCGUAAAGAGCUCGUAGGCGGUUCAGCAAGUCGGCUGUGAAAGUCUGAGGCUCAACCUCAGAAUUGCAGUCGAUACUGCUGUGACUCGAGUCCGGUAGAGGAGAACGGAAUUCCCGGUGUAGCGGUGAAAUGCGCAGAUAUCGGGAGGAACACCAGUAGCGAAGGCGGUUCUCUGGGCCGGCACUGACGCUGAGGAGCGAAAGCGUGGGGAGCAAA
RNAcentral lists this ribosomal RNA (403 nucleotides) under uncultured bacterium. RNAcentral describes it as "bacterial SSU rRNA". It matches the Rfam family "Bacterial small subunit ribosomal RNA", at positions 358 to 772 of the family's 1533-position model. The record is from RNAcentral.